GUGACCUCAAAUCAGGUAGGACUACCCGCUGAACUUAAGCAUAUCAAUAAGCGGAGGAAAAGAAACUAACAAGGAUUCCCCUAGUAACUGCGAGUGAAGCGGGAAAAGCUCAAAUUUAAAAUCUGGCGGUCUUUUGGCUGUCCGAGUUGUAAUGCUAGAGAAG
Molecule: ribosomal RNA, 163 nt
Filed under: uncultured Cortinarius
Lineage: Eukaryota; Fungi; Basidiomycota; Agaricomycetes; Agaricales; Cortinariaceae
Description: partial 28S ribosomal RNA
Rfam family: Eukaryotic large subunit ribosomal RNA
Source: RNAcentral